This is a long non-coding RNA of Vidua chalybeata, 6043 nucleotides long. RefSeq lists it as uncharacterized. NCBI's taxonomy places the organism in Eukaryota, Metazoa, Chordata, Aves, Passeriformes, Viduidae. The transcript has 4 exons. The record is from RefSeq and is a predicted model, not a curated record.
UGUUCCUUUUGCAAGGAACUUGAAUUUCUCAUUUCUGAGUAGCCCACAUAUUCUUUUGCUGUGUCUGUGGAUGGACAUGAUUAUAGUGCCUUGACUGACUUGGGUACAUCUAAUCAUGCCAUGAAUGCUGCUGGCAGUAAUAGCAGUUGUAGUGUGUGAAUUAUUUUGUGUGCACAUUGCUGAACUGCUCCCUCUCAGAGUGGUCUGGCAUGGUGACUGUAUACUGUUGACCUUUUUCUCCUGCCACCACCAGUUCCCUUGGAAGUGCACUCUCCUACCAAUUUAGCUGUCACCGUGCCCAAAUCUGUCCUAAAGAGGCUCUUUGAUUACAUCCACAAGGUACAAAGUAUUCCCAAGAAAGCAAGAACUUCCAAAUUACUUUCCAGUUUAUUUUCUUUCCAGCAUCUACUAAGAUGGAGACCCUUUAUUAUAGGAUAAUCUUUAUAUUCUUUUCCAUAGGCUGACCUGUGGGUUUUUUUUCUUAGUAGAUACCUGUGCAAUAUAAAAUAAAAGAAUGCCAUGUGCUCGAUAGCAAAGCUGAAGGCUACCUUCUCAUCCUCUCUGCAUGUCGAGUUGUUGUCUUUAAUGCAUCACUUCAUUCAUUUUUUCAGUUUUUUUGCAGGCUGGGAAAUAAAAGCAGAGCCAGUGAGCUGCACUGCCAGGUAAGAGUUGGAACCCAAACCAUGCUUCCCAUUACCAAAUUCCCCAAGGCUUCAUUGUUCUAGUAUUUGAGGUUUAUAGAAAAUAACUGCCUGGUUUCUCUCUAUGCCUGUAAAUGAUUAUAGGCCUCACAUUUCUAACCUCUUCUAAUUCUGCCAGUAACAGCAAUACAGCCUCCAUGUGGUAACCUAGUUGUUCACAUCCAUAAACUUCUUUAAUCUUUGUCCAAAUUCCCAUUUCUGCCAAAGAAUGCAUCAGGUAACAAGAUAAGACACAGGGAAAUGUAACCCUUGCCCCAAAUAACCUGUCAUGAACUGUAAUGUUUUAUCACAAGAACUGUACUUUGCACAGUUGUGUAAAAGAGCAACAAUCUGCCUGCCAAACCUGCAGCUCUCCCACGCUCCGUGGCACUGACACCAGGAUUCCCAGGUUUUGCCUGUCGGAUUACUGCUGCCAGCUGGUUCUUUCCAAAGCCAUGGCUGCUGGGUAGCAGCACCAAGGCAGCAUUGUUGAGUUUGUGCCCUGCACACAUCCAUGCUUGGUACAAUGAGGAAGAGGAGGCUGCAAGGUUCCCUCAGUGUAGGCUGUUGGGGGCAUACAGCAGCAGAACAAGAAGGAAGAACAGCAGAUACAGCUGAAAUAUUCCAUGUUUAAAAUAAUUCAGUCUAAUGCUGGUUAUAGCCUCCCUUUUAGUGUACGUACGUGUGCAGGUUUUGGUCAUAUGGAUCACUCCCUGAGAAACCUUUGUUCUUCUCAAAUUUCUCAUGACUCCAGUGUGCUUUAAUCUUUUUCAUAAGAGCUGUGUAAUUCUGUGGCACUCCACCAAGGAAAAGGCUUUAACUAUGUCAUGAAAGAGUUGUUUAAAAUCCCAAGUACAAACCUGUGUAUUACUACAUGUAACAGAAGACUUAAACAGAAUUUAUUAAUAAGCCUAAACUUGUUCGAGGCAUCUUGAGUGAAAAACGCUGUUAGCUAGCUCAGUAAAUACUAGUGAGGCUGAACUGCCAAUUUGCAAAUAGACUGGCUAUAUCAAGAAAGAUGACACUGGCCUUCCAUUUAAUAGUUCAGGUAUUUGAAUAAUUUUACAUUCCAUUUUAAUCUUUCUUUGGUAGCUUGUAUUUCUGGAUAGAGCUUCAGGUACUGAGAAAUGGGUGGAAUAUAAGCUGAAUAGGUCUGCUUUUUCCCAGUGAGAAACUGAGUUAUGUGAGAGAACAGCUCCCAGCUGCUGUCUCACUGCUGCUUCCAUAUGCUGCAUAAACACCACUGUUGGAAGUAACUAUAGAUCAUGGGCUGCAGGGUCUUUGGUGGUGUUACCACACUUGUUUCUCAGCCUUUGUUGCAGAAAGAAAGAUGCGGUCCUAAAUGACCUAGGAGGUUCUUGGUGGUAAGGGAUAGAUUCUCAAAGAUGCUACAACUAAACAGGCAUGUGCAGCUGCCAAAGGAUGGCUAAGUGCUUUGGAAACAUUUUAGGCCUCUAAACAUAUUGAAAAGGUAGAUUUCUCUUGGAGUUCUUUUUGUUCACCUUAUCACAUUAUUGAUCAAUUCUUUGAGCCAGGCUUUAUAAUUACUGUCAGGCUGCAGAUGGCUAUUAGGAGAAGCCUGCAGGACACAAAACAAAGAAUUAAAGUGUCUGCAGCAAAGCUGGACAUGUAAAGUUACAUAUUUGGGCGUGAGAUUUUCUAACAACUCAUUUCCACUUAAAGAGGUUCUGUGCCCUUCUCCCUGUCUGCCUUCUGCCUUGGCCUACCUCCCCUUACAUGCACUGGCUUGUGUUUUCUGACCCUGCACCAAGCCAAUUCUAAUUACUGGAAUUGAGAAGAAUAUUAAACUGGAAAAAAGGUGAAUCGUUUGUGAUAGCUAUGGAGUUGAUUCAAAGCAUGAAUGUACUGAUGAGCACAGAAUUAAUGCAAAGGAUGUGACUGGAUGUGGGUCUAGGGAAAGGAAGAGGAGAAAAACUAAACAAGAGCUUUACAGCAAUGGAAAUGUUGUUAAUGUUCUUUGUUAAAAAGUGCCACUACUCCUGAAUAACAAAUGGUCAGAUUCUGUUCAUGCACAGUCCAGCAUCAUCCUACAUAUGCAUGUUACCUUGGUCAUUAUGGUUUUGUCUUUCACAGUGUGGGUCUCAGUGGGUAAAGCUGUGACUGCAGUAUGGCAGAUCACUGAGACACCAGCAACAAGGCUUUGCUCUGAGGGAGGGUGGUCAACAGUAGUGACAUAUUUUGUAAGCUUGCCCCUCAGCUCUCUCCAGGUGAUAAUGUCUCUUGCCAGCUCCAUGGGACGAAGUAAUGACAACUAUUUUUGUCAACACUUUCUAAUGAUGGGCACUCUUAGUGAUACCAACAGCUGUAUGGAAGUCUUGCAAAGUCAAAUGAAGAACUUCAGGUGAGAACCACUGGACACUUUUUCCUGUAAACACUGAUGCCAGAUUUGUAUAUGGUAGCAAUCAGAAAACACUAAAUUAUUCAUUUAUGUCCUGAUUUCAUAAUUCCUUAAGAAACAGAACAUGAUUUUGCCCACUGUAAAAUAAAGACAAUAGCUGCUAUUCCGUUGCAUAUUGUACUUGUGAAGGAAGCAAGUUUCUGCAUCUCAGGUUUCUGCAUUUGUUAAGCUGUCCCACUUGCACACCAACUUCUUCAAGACCUACAGAGCCACUCAGUAGCAGAAUCCAAAACAGAAUUAAACCUGAGAGAGGAAUCAGAAUAUAGAAACUGUCCUAUUUGAUGGGGAAAUACUUGAUUGACUGCACUAAGGACGUAGUUUAUUUUAAAUAUUCUAAUCCUUUUGAAAUACUAAGAGAUCUAAAAGUAGAUACUGCAACUUUGAAAUGGAACAUUGCUAUUUUUGGGGAUGGUACCAAAAGUAGAUGUAAUUGCCAAAAAUACACAGAAAUAUUUAGCUGUUUUUCAGCAAGCACUGACCAAAUAAAGGAGCUCCCCUGGAUCAAGCUGGAUGUUAAUUAGUGACCCAUCACUAGGGUCUUUGCUUCUGAAAGUUUGACACCACUAUUUUAUAAUAAACCUAUAAGAUGCUGCAUUUUAGAAAAUACUGACCGCAUUCCCUGCUCCCUCUGUCAACCUGAACAAUUUCAUCUGAACUAAACAGAUGUUUAGUUUAGCUGUUCUCAUGCUUCCCUAAAAUCUCUGCUCUCUGCUUAGAUCUUAGGCUGCUUGGAGUUUAAAACAAUGAAAAUUUGUGGAUGUGUUUUUUGUAUUGUUCUUUGGCCAUACUAUGGUUAUCUAUAAUCAAUACAGGGUGUUUUCCAUGGUAAAUGACAUCAAUAUGUGGCAGCAGUGCUGUGAAAAUCAGGUUUCCAAUUCCUUGGUAGUCAGGAAUUUCUAACCCAAUAUGAUGCUAUUUGAAAUCAUCUAAAAGGAUCAAAUAUUCUGUAAGAAAAUAAAUGAACAAAUCCUUUUUAUCAAUUCAUAUUGGUUUUCUGUUGCUGUAUCACCAAAUGAAACCAGAAAGAUAAGGAAUUCUUUUUUUUUCAGAGAAAAUGAAUUCAUUUCUUAUCUUUGGCAAAAUUUGGCUGGGCUAUAUCCUUGAGUGAUGUCAUGUUAUUUAUCUGAGCUAAUAAAAAGACCAGUGACUCAGCUUCUGUAACUUAUAAUUCAAUCUCAGGUGAAAAGUUUGAACAGCAUGCCAAUAUUUCAUCCUAAUGUUAAUGUAUUAUCUUCAGGAGAGACCAAGGAGAGCCUUCUGGAAUGCAAAAAUGAAUACAUUUACAGGAUAACUAAAUAUUUUUAAGUCCUCUGCUUGUUUUCCAGGUGGCACCUGUUAUUCCUAAGUGACUUUAAUUCAUUUGGAUUGACAGAUCAAAUUUGCCAUCAACUCUGCCACUUUCCAACCAAAACUGGUAGGAAACAUACUAAAACAGAAAAAGGGAUAAUUAUGGCAAGAAGUAUUUUUUGUCUGCUUCAUUAGGAUGACCAUCUGCAAUGAAGAAUAGUGGGAUUUUCUACACGACUUCUGAAGACCAUCUCUACAUAAGAAAGGAAAUUUAAUAAGGCAAAGCUGAAGUGUGUGCUCACCAGCAGUGGUUGGGCCACUCACCAUGGGUAUCAGGCUGCGAGACAGAACAUGCCCCUUGUCAGGGAGCCCUUCAACUAGAUGGUAUUUAGAGGUCAUGAGAAGAAACAUGCUGAAGAAGUACAGCUGAGGUGAGGAGAAAGUCUUAAAGAGCUUUAGGAGAGGUUAUUGUUGGGGCAGAUAAGAAAAUAAAGCAUGAGUUCAAAAUAAACCAGGCUUCACCAGGUUUACUGUUUGCAGAAUUAAAUGAUUAUUCCCAGGAACUGACCACAACUCUGUGUGCUGUGACUGCUCAGAUAAAACAACUUCUAAAAUAACCCUUUCAGUAUUUAGAGGUCAAGCCCUACCUCUGAUCAGCUUAUGAUGCAAUUUAGUAAUUUUCCAUUUCCAAAUUGAUAAUUUUCAAACACAUGCUUUUGAUGCUUUUUCCAAGAAGCACUCUCUCUUCUCUGAAAAAGUAAUUGUAAACACCUCAUAGCCACCUAAUUAUUUUCUCUGAAAGUCCUCAGGCCCACUAAACUCUUAAGGAUAGUUGAGUGGUUGCUAUACUGAAACUGCUGCCUCUGAUUGAUUGUUUCUGUUUCCUGUUACUUUCUACCUCAUGGCUCCCAGUCCAAGUGCUUCUGUUGAGACUUUUUCUUUGCUGAGCACAAUGAAAGUCUUAGUCAACACACCUGCCUGUGUCUAUAAAAAUUUAUGGUAAUGCAAGUAAAUGAAUGUGGAUAUAUUACUGUACUAGUUCUAUCCUGAAUGUGUGAAUGUUAGUGGUGUUCCUUGUAAACUGAAGGGUCUUGAAGUUGUUACGACAGUGUCUCUAAAACACACUGAGACCUGCAAAGUUGCCUGGUUAAUCUGGGCACUCAGUUGUUUGUGGAAAGAGGUUGAGAAGCAGGAUCGAGCUGUACCUGCAAAAGGGGCAGCCACGGACAACAACAAAAGGAGGAGACAAAACUGAAGAAUGUGCUACAUCAUUUGCUGAUCCCCGUGAUAAUGUUGAAUGAAAAGAGUCACUUCAAUAACCUUGGUAGCAAUUUGUGCUUUGUCACAGUGACUCUCAGCCUUUUGUAAAGCAGGGUGUUGAAUUCAAGACUGGCCUCAGUGAAAAUGUAGUUGCUCCCACAAGCAUAUUCUUGUCUUACGAUCACUUGUUAAUGCAUAUUUAUUUAGUGAUUUACUUUCUGGGAACAAUUCAAUUCACGUUCACUUUUUCAUUAUCAGCAAAAACUCAUUACCCUGUUUUUCAGAAGGCACAAAUGAGACAGCAAGUGAGGUAGUUAGUAGCUUAAAGCCAUGCAGUGGGUCAGUGAGUCAUCAGCAGAGCAGUUUGAAUGUCAGGCAGGUUUUGUUUUGUGUUUCA